RNAcentral lists this ribosomal RNA (832 nucleotides) under uncultured bacterium. RNAcentral describes it as "bacterial SSU rRNA". It matches the Rfam family "Bacterial small subunit ribosomal RNA", at positions 8 to 835 of the family's 1533-position model. The record is from RNAcentral.
AGAGUUUGAUCCUGGCUCAGAUUGAACGCUGGCGGCAUGCCUUACACAUGCAAGUCGAGCGGCAGCGCGGGGGCAACCCUGGCGGCGAGCGGCGGACGGGUGAGUAAUACAUCGGAACGUGUCCUUUCGUGGGGGAUAACCAGUCGAAAGACUGGCUAAUACCGCAUGAGAUCUCACGAUGAAAGCGGGGGACCGCAAGGCCUCGCGCGAUUGGAGCGGCCGAUGUCGGAUUAGCUAGUUGGCGGGGUAAAAGCCCACCAAGGCGACGAUCCGUAGCUGGUUUGAGAGAACGACCAGCCACACUGGGACUGAGACACGGCCCAGACUCCUACGGGAGGCAGCAGUGGGGAAUUUUGGACAAUGGGCGCAAGCCUGAUCCAGCCAUGCCGCGUGUGUGAAGAAGGCCUUCGGGUUGUAAAGCACUUUCGGCCGGAACGAAAUCGCCUUUGUUAAUAGCGAAGGUGGAUGACGGUACCGGAAGAAGAAGCACCGGCUAACUACGUGCCAGCAGCCGCGGUAAUACGUAGGGUGCGAGCGUUAAUCGGAAUUACUGGGCGUAAAGGGUGCGCAGGCGGCCCCGCAAGUCAGGCGUGAAAUCCCCGGGCUUAACCUGGGAAUGGCGCUUGAAACUACGGGGCUGGAGUAUGGCAGGGGGAGGUGGAAUUCCACGUGUAGCGGUGAAAUGCGUAAAGAUGUGGAGGAACACCGAUGGCGAAGGCAGCCUCCUGGGCCAAUACUGACGCUCAUGCACGAAAGCGUGGGGAGCAAACAGGAUUAAAUACCCUGGUAGUCCACGCCCUAAACGAUGAUGACUAGUUGUUGGAGGAGUUAA